CUUGGUCAUUUAGAGGAAGUAAAAGUCAUAACAAGGUUUCCGUAGGUGAACCUGCGGAAGGAUCAUUAAUAGUGCCCAUUGAUGCAAAUCAUUGGGUUAGAUCUGCCCUUAUCGCAAGAUGAGGGCUUCCAUAUACACCGUGAACCGUGGCUUCGGCCAUCACAAACUGUUAGUAAUGAAUGUAAUAUCAUAACAAAAACAAAACUUUUAACAACGGAUCUCUUGGCUCUCGCAUCGAUGAAGAACGCAGCGAAAUGCGAUAAGUAAUGUGAAUUGCAGAAUUCAGUGAAUCAUCGAAUCUUUGAACGCACCUUGCGCCCUUUGGUAUUCCGAAGGGCAUGCCUGUUUGAGUGUCAUGAAACCUCACCCCACUUAGGUUUUUGCCUAAGCGGUGGUGUAUUGGGUGUUUGCCUUGCUAAAGGCUCGCCUUAAAGAUAUAAGCACCUUGGAUGUAAUACGUUUCAUCCUUCUGGGUGGCUGAUAACCCCACAUAUUCAUGAUCUGGCCUCAAAUCAGGUAGGGCUACCCGCUGAACUUAAGCAUAUCAAUAAGCGGAGGAAAAGAAACUAACUAGGAUUCCCUUAGUAACGGCGAGUGAACCGGGAUGAGCUCAAAUUUAAAAUCUGGCGUCUUUCAGGCGUCCGAGUUGUAAUCUAUAGAGGCGUUUUCCGCGCCGGACCGCGUCCAAGUCUCUUGGAAUAGAGUAUCAAAGAGGGUGACAAUCCCGUACUUGACGCGACAACCGGUGCUCUGUGAUACGUUCUCAAUGAGUCGAGUUGUUUGGGAAU
RNAcentral lists this small RNA (788 nucleotides) under uncultured Cryptococcus. RNAcentral's name for it is "eukaryotic LSU rRNA". The stretch from base 503 to 788 matches the Rfam family "Eukaryotic large subunit ribosomal RNA", at positions 1 to 281 of the family's 3401-position model. Lineage: Eukaryota; Fungi; Basidiomycota; Tremellomycetes. The record is from RNAcentral.